CAGAGGGUAGUUUAAGUAGAAUA
RNAcentral lists this transfer RNA (23 nucleotides) under Oryctolagus cuniculus (rabbit). RNAcentral describes it as "partial transfer RNA-Pro". The record is from RNAcentral. Lineage: Eukaryota; Metazoa; Chordata; Mammalia; Lagomorpha; Leporidae.